AUUCCAGAUUAAAGGACUUGUAAGAGGACAUGGCAACCUGUGAGCCCAGACUGGAUCCUGGACCAGAAAAAGGACACUAGUGAGACAACUGGCAGAAUUUGCAUAAGAAGCACGGCCUCGGCCUCGGGUGGUGGAGUCACUGCUGAGCCCAUGACGUUCUGCUUAUAUUCCAUCCCUGCAUUUGGAAGUCGUUCUUUGCCAGGAGGAAAGUGAGGAAAAACCAGCAAUAACAAAACAGCAGCUCUACUGACGGAGGAGGAGGAGCCCAGGAGGCGGCUGGUCAGGGCCCAGGUGUGGAGGGAGGCCAGGCAUAGGCACCCCGACUUCUCUGGAACUACUGACAUUUUCUCGCAAGCAGAGAGGAAGAUGGAAAGGUCAGGGAGGAGAAUGAGGGAGGGGUCUGCCGCGGGGAGCCGCAAACUCCGUGGGGCACAGAAUAGUGCAACCGUCUCCCAUUGAGGAAAUUCUCCCCACCGGGCGGCUUGCCUCUAAACAGGAUAUUGCUUCGAUUUCUUUGAUUUCCCUUCUCUCUCUCUCUCUCUCUCUCUCGCAAAAAAAGUCUGAUUCUAAUAACAGCUAGAAUAUAUAAAUAAUAAUGUUUUAAUGUUAUUGGUUCUUUGUUUCCAACCCAAAGUUCCUCUUCUCUUCCUUUUGCCAAUAAAUAUGAAAAUUGAGGACAUCAACUCUGCUCCUGUCAAAAAGACCCCCUCCCCUCAGAAAAGAGACAA
Molecule: long non-coding RNA, 728 nt
Filed under: Homo sapiens (human)
Lineage: Eukaryota; Metazoa; Chordata; Mammalia; Primates; Hominidae
Description: non-protein coding lnc-RGS6-4:1
Source: RNAcentral